UGACCGUGCGAAGGUAGCAUAAUCAUUAGUCUUUUAAUUGAAGGCUUGUAUGAAUGGUUGGACGAAAAGUGAUCUGUCUCUGUUGAAAUAAUUGAAUUUAACUUUUGAGUGAGAAGGCUUAAAUGGUCUAGGGGGACGAUAAGACCCUAUAAAGUUUAACAUUAUAAUAAUAAAAAGUUAAUUGGAAUUGUAAGAUUUAUUGUUAUAAAUAGUGUUUUGUUGGGGCGACAAGAAUAUAAAUAAUUUAACUGUUCUUUUUUGUAUCAAAUAUAUUUGAAUUAAUGAUCUUUUUAAGAGUAUUAGAGUAAAUUACUUUAGGGAUAACAGCGUAAUUUUUUUUGAGAGUUCUUAUCGACAAAAGAGUUUGCGACCUCGAUGUUGAAUUAAAGAUUCUUUAUAAUGCAGAAGUUAUAUAAGAAGGUCUGUUCGACCUUUAAAUCUUUACAUGAUUUGAGUUCAGACCGGUGUGAGCCAGGUUGGUUUCUAUCUA
RNAcentral lists this ribosomal RNA (490 nucleotides) under Euastacus balanensis. RNAcentral's name for it is "partial 16S ribosomal RNA". It matches the Rfam family "Archaeal large subunit ribosomal RNA", at positions 2020 to 2713 of the family's 2987-position model. Lineage: Eukaryota; Metazoa; Arthropoda; Malacostraca; Decapoda; Parastacidae. The record is from RNAcentral.